RNAcentral lists this ribosomal RNA (230 nucleotides) under uncultured microorganism. Its description in RNAcentral is "partial 16S ribosomal RNA". It matches the Rfam family "Bacterial small subunit ribosomal RNA", at positions 524 to 753 of the family's 1533-position model. The record is from RNAcentral.
UACGUAGGUGGCAAGCGUUGUCCGGAUUUAUUGGGCGUAAAGCGAGCGCAGGCGGUUUCUUAAGUCUGAUGUGAAAGCCCCCGGCUCAACCGGGGAGGGUCAUUGGAAACUGGGAGACUUGAGUGCAGAAGAGGAGAGUGGAAUUCCAUGUGUAGCGGUGAAAUGCGUAGAUAUAUGGAGGAACACCAGUGGCGAAGGCGGCUCUCUGGUCUGUAACUGACGCUGAGGCU